AGUUUUUUGGGUUUUUAUAAAAAAUGUUUUCUGCUCGGUGAUUUUAUUAACAGCCGCGGUAUUUUGACCGUGCAAAGGUAGCAUAAUCAUUUGCUUCGUAAUUGGGGGCUUGUAUGAAUGGGAAUACAAGAUGUUUGCUUUAUUUUUUAAAUGGUUUUAAUUUGCUUUUUUAGUGAAGAAGCUAAAAUUUUUUUAAGGGACAAGAAGACCCUUUUGAGUUUUAUUUUUUUUUGUUUUUCUUAGACAAAUAAAAUUUGGUUGGGGCGACCAAGGAAGUUAUUAUCUUCUUUUUAUAUGUUGAUCCAAGAUUUUUGAUUGUUAGACUAAAUUACCAAAGGGAUAACAGCGUUAUUUUUUUUGAGAGUUCUUAUUGAUAAAAGAGAUUGCGACCUCGAUGUUGACUUAUAAUUUCCUUUAGGUGUAGGUGCUUUAAGGGUAGGUCUGUUCGACCUUUAAAAUUUU
RNAcentral lists this ribosomal RNA (462 nucleotides) under Tetrastemma sp. 5D05 Australia. Its description in RNAcentral is "partial large subunit ribosomal RNA". It matches the Rfam family "Bacterial large subunit ribosomal RNA", at positions 1828 to 2597 of the family's 2925-position model. Lineage: Eukaryota; Metazoa; Nemertea; Enopla; Monostilifera; Tetrastemmatidae. The record is from RNAcentral.